This 406-nucleotide ribosomal RNA is filed under the name uncultured Megasphaera sp. RNAcentral describes it as "bacterial SSU rRNA". It matches the Rfam family "Bacterial small subunit ribosomal RNA", at positions 147 to 524 of the family's 1533-position model. Lineage: Bacteria; Bacillati; Bacillota; Negativicutes; Veillonellales; Veillonellaceae. The record is from RNAcentral.
CAGCUGGAAACGGCUGCUAAUACCGAAUACGUUCUUUUCAUCGCAUGGUGAGAAGAAGAAAAGGACGGCCUCUACACAAAGCGGUCGGCCGAAGGAGGGGUUUUUGCGUCUGAUUAGCUAGUUGGAGGGGUAACGGCCCAACAAGGCGACGAUCAGUAGCCCGGUCUGAGAGGAUGAACGGCCACAUUGGGACUGAGACACGGCCCAGACUCCUACGGGAGGCAGCAGUGGGGAAUCUUCCGCAAUGGACGAAAGUCUGACGGAGCAACGCCGCGUGAGUGAAGACGGUCUUCGGAUUGUAAAGCUCUGUUAUACGGGACGAACGGCAAGGUGGUAAAUAGCCAUCAUGAGUGACGGUACCGUAAGAGAAAGCCACGGCUAACUACGUGCCAGCAGCCGCGGUAAU